This 453-nucleotide ribosomal RNA is filed under the name uncultured bacterium. RNAcentral describes it as "bacterial SSU rRNA". It matches the Rfam family "Bacterial small subunit ribosomal RNA", at positions 29 to 524 of the family's 1533-position model. The record is from RNAcentral.
AGCGAACGCUGGCGGCAGGCUUAACACAUGCAAGUCGAGCGGGCGUAGCAAUACGUCAGCGGCAGACGGGUGAGUAACGCGUGGGAACGUACCUUUUGGUUCGGAACAACACAGGGAAACUUGUGCUAAUACCGGAUAAGCCCUUACGGGGAAAGAUUUAUCGCCGAAAGAUCGGCCCGCGUCUGAUUAGCUAGUUGGUAGGGUAAUGGCCUACCAAGGCGACGAUCAGUAGCUGGUCUGAGAGGAUGAUCAGCCACAUUGGGACUGAGACACGGCCCAAACUCCUACGGGAGGCAGCAGUGGGGAAUAUUGGACAAUGGGGGCAACCCUGAUCCAGCCAUGCCGCGUGAGUGAUGAAGGCCCUAGGGUUGUAAAGCUCUUUUGUGCGGGAAGAUAAUGACGGUACCGCAAGAAUAAGCCCCGGCUAAACUUCGUGCCAGCAGCCGCGGUAAU